This is a long non-coding RNA of Felis catus (domestic cat), 2057 nucleotides long. RefSeq lists it as uncharacterized. NCBI's taxonomy places the organism in Eukaryota, Metazoa, Chordata, Mammalia, Carnivora, Felidae. The transcript has 2 exons. The record is from RefSeq and is a predicted model, not a curated record.
CACCCUGUAAAGCACCAGAAAGCGAGCACGCUGUCGCUCCAACAGACUGACUUGCGUGUAGUUCCUACCUCGCGAUAAGCGCUCGUCGAAAACUUUCCUGUAGGUCUUUACAGGGCCCGUUAUUUCUCAUCACUCAGGACUUCCCUCAGAUGACAUCACCCCAGGUCUUCCUUGCCCUUGACAUCUGCACCAUGCAAUCACUUUACUCCGGUAGGUCAUAUUCAUUGUACUUAUUACUCUCAGAAAUUAUGUCCUUUGUCCAGAACCAGUCUUCCUCCCAAGCCUACCAGAAUCUCUAUGAGAGCCGAGUCCUGUUUGCCGCAGGACCCCACUGCUUUGCACAGUUGGUCCUUAGUAAAUCCUACAAUGAAUGGAAUGUGUUUGGGGCCUCUCAUGUCUAGUCAUUUAUGACUUCAUGGUUUCUAAUCCCAUUUUGUACUGGUGAGAGUCCCAAGAUUUAGGGCUAAAACUGCUUGCUUUCAAAAGUUCACAAAAAUAAAUCCUGGGGCUACAGAUAUUCCACACGCAAGCCACGGAAGAUGCUGCUCGCGGCUCGCCACUCCAACAGAAGGACAGGAGCGAGCCCUCAGGAGCCUCAUUCACUCAGGCAUCAAGGCCACUGGACUUGCAGAGACCCUGGCUCAAGGGCGGGACCUAGGCGGUGGGUAGCAGUGGGCAGGCUACGAGGCAGGCUGAGGAGAGGACAGAGUGGCACAGUGCUCCAGAGCAAGGGCUCUCGAAUCUCAAACACGGGUUCAAAUCCUCGCCUCGCCACGCCACGCCACUUACUGUGCGAGGCCUUAGAAAACAGAGGUCAUCUCCCUCAGCUUCAGUUUCCUCCUUUGGAAAAUGAAGGUACUAGGCACGGUGUGAGCACUCAAUAGGGCAAUACGCACAGCCUGCGGAGAGUAAGUGAUCAGUAGAUGUUCCAUUCGUUACUGUGUAGUUCCUGUUCCAAAGGGGCGAAGCCACACACCCCCAGUAUUGCUGGCUACACUCUGGCGGCCGACACAAAGUGGUCUUCCCCCAAACCUCCCUUCCCUUAGCCUGGCCACGCGACUACCAAACCAAAGGAAUAUAAUGAUCAGACCUGGUUUUUCACACUUCCCGAGAUCCUUGAAGUCCAGAGGUCCUCGACCCUGGCUGUGCCUUAGAAUUACCUGUGAGCUCUUCUGGUUUUUGUUAUUUUCUCUCUCUCUCAGUUUUUAAGACAAUGAAUAUUGUUUUCAGCCACCAGGCUUUGAGGCAAUUUGCUACCCAGCAGUAGAUAACUAACGCAAUAUGGAAGCAGAGUUGCUGUAUCAUAGGUUAACCCACGUUGUAGCCUGUAUCAGUGAGUGUUUCAUCACUUCUCGUCUGAGUAACACUCUAUUUUAUGGAUGUCUCGUAUUUUGUUUAUCCAUACAUUCUCAAGUUGAUGGACAUGUGGGUCAUUCCUACUUAUGCUAUUAUGGAUAAUGCUGCUACGAACAUUCAUGUGUAAGCUUUUGCGCCAACGUGUUUCCAAUUCCCCUGGGUAUAUACCUAGGUGUCUAACUGCUGGAUCAUAUGGCAACUCUACGUUCAAUCGUUUGAGGAACUACCAAGCUGUUUUCCAAAGAGGCUUCAUCAUUUUACAUUCCCAUCAGCAACAUAUGAGCAUUCCAAUUUCUCCACAUCCUUGCCAAUACUUGUUAUUAUCUGACUUUUUGAUUAUAGUCUUCCUAGUGGGUGUGAGGUGGUGUCUCAUUUGCAUUUCCCUAAUAAUUAAUAAUGUUGAGCAUCUGAUUAACCUCUUUGGAAAAUCUGUCUUCUAGUCCAUUUUUUAACUGGUUAUUUGUCUUUUCAUUGAUAUGUUGCAGGCAUUCUUUAUAUAUUCUGGACACUAGACUCUUAUCAGAUAUAUGAUUUGUAAAUAUUCUCUCCCAUCCUGAAGAUUGUCUUUUUACUUUUACUUUCUGAGUGUCCUUUGAAGCAAAAAAAGUUUUUAAUUGUCACUAAGUCUAAUAUAACUAUUUUUCUUUGGUUGCUUGUGUUUUUGGUGUCCUAUCUAAUAAACAUUGCCUAAUCCAAGAUCA